RNAcentral lists this ribosomal RNA (527 nucleotides) under uncultured organism. RNAcentral describes it as "SSU rRNA". It matches the Rfam family "Bacterial small subunit ribosomal RNA", at positions 510 to 1033 of the family's 1533-position model. The record is from RNAcentral.
AGCAGCCGCGGUAAUACGUAGGGUGCGAGCGUUGUCCGGAAUUACUGGGCGUAAAGAGCUCGUAGGUGGUUUGUCGCGUUGUUCGUGGAAACUCACAAGCUUUAACUUGUGGGCGUGCCGGGCGAUACGGGCAGACUAGAGUACUGCAGGGGAGACUGGAAUUCCUGGUGUAGCGGUGGAAUGCGCAGAUAUCAGGAGGAACACCGGUGGCGAAGGCGGGUCUCUGGGCAGUAACUGACGCUGAGGAGCGAAAGCGUGGGGAGCGAACAGGAUUAGAUACCCUGGUAGUCCACGCCGUAAACGGUGGGUACUAGGUGUGGGUUCCUUCCUUGGGAUCCGUGCCGUAGCUAACGCAUUAAGUACCCCGCCUGGGGAGUACGGCCGCAAGGCUAAAACUCAAAGGAAUUGACGGGGGCCCGCACAAGCGGCGGAGCAUGUGGAUUAAUUCGAUGCAACGCGAAGAACCUUACCUGGGUUUGACAUGCACAGGACGCCGGCAGAGAUGUCGGUUCCCUUGUGGCCUGUGU